AUUGCUCAUUUGCACGCCAAACUAAACUGGUGAAUCAUAAUCACUCGCGCGCUUCACGAGACUUUUCAAAAAGUCUCACUUUAAUUGUAACUUCGUUUUUCUUAUUUUUGCUUUUUAUUUCUGAAUGCAUCAUGCAUCUGUCUCGUGCAAUCAUUUGUACCUGCAUCGUCACUAUACUAGCGAUGAUUUUCUUUGGCAUCGAUUUUCGUAUCCUUUUUAAAAAAUGUCCUCACUCGGAGCAAAUUGUAGACAAUGUGUAUUGCACUACUUCCGGUUUGACUACCAUCAGCAGAAUGAUCGUUAUUUGCAUUCUCCAAGCAGUUUUAUAUUGCGGAAUAAGAUCUAGAUCUUCGAGAUUGCUGAAAAUUUGGCUGGGCACUAUGAUCCUUGUGGUUAUACCCAUAACUGCUGGCAUAAUUUUAUACCAUAGCAAACACGGAGAUGGAUAUUUCAUCACAACCAAUAUUAUCCUUUUAGUGCUUUUUGUAUGUGAUAUAGUAAAUAUUGGUGCUUACCGGGCUUCCUUGAGAGAUCAAAAUUACAUUCAAUUUUCAAAUUAUUAAGUACAUAAAAAUUUAAUAUUAUGUUAGAUUAUGUUAUAAUUAUAUGAAAAUUACUUAAAUAGAAAUGCAUUUAAAAAAUUAUUUUUAAUAAAAUCCUACAAAGAUAUCAUUUAAAUCUAUUUGUAUUUUUUCCUUAUUACAUUUUUGGAUUUAAUAAUAAAUAAUAAUUGAGGACUAUUGUGGUCUAGAUCCGAGUCGAAAACAUGAGCGAGUGUUCUGCAAAGAACUUUGCAUAUCUUGAUGUAUUUAAAUUGGUGAGAGGGGGAGGAGAAAUUGAAAACUGCUCAAAAAUUUAAAUCAAAAUCAAAUUUUCCUUGGUAUGAUUAACUUUUUUGAGUACUAACAAGGGUUUCAAGUAGAAGAUAUUAUGUUAUUUAACGAAAAAAGAGUUAUCUUUUGUUGUUUUCAGUGAAAGUGAAAAUUGUUUAAAUUUCUGAGCAAAGCAUCAGCCAUCAAAAUCUUUAUAUGUCUGCUGAAGAACAUAACAAAAAUAUUGAUAGUAUCAAUAAUAUGCAAAUGAUAAGUUGGUGAUGAAUUUUAUCACACAAGCCUGUACCACCACAUCCGUUAAAGUUUAUCUUUAUUCACUACCACAGUAAUCAUUUGUCCUUGCGCCAGCCAACAACGUAUACAGCCUAAUAAGACCACUUCACAAAGUUGAUUUUGGCCUCCCAAAAUUAAAUAGCUCAAGUUAAUAAUACUUAAAGGGCUUUCAAACAAGAGAAUAAUUGGUCCUUUAUUUCAAGAUGUCUUACACGAUUACUUUCACCAUAUUCGUCUCAAUGGCAAUGGCGUCCAUCUUCAUUGUCGACAUGAGGUACAUUGUCUGGGGUUGUCAAGAUUCUUACACUAUCACUUGUGACGUUUACGCCCGUAAUUCUGGAAUUUUUAUUGGAAGACUGAUCAUUUAUAGCAUUAUUCAAGGACUUUUACUUUACGGAUUGAGAAUUAAAUCUCCAAGGAUAAUGACAUACUGGUUGGGUCUCAUGGUCUUUUUGAUUGUGCCAUACACGAUGUUUAUAGUUAUUUUGCAUUUUAAUGGAUCAGCCCUUGAGUAUUUAACUCUGGCAAAUUUCUUUAUUUUGAUUCCUUUGCAACUGGAUAUCAUCAAUAUUUCUACAUACCGAGCUAAUCUACCUUCUCAACACAAACAAUGUAUUUUAUUUUAAAUUAUGAGUAUUUAUUUCCAAAAUAAAUAGUAAUAUCAAUCAAAAUAAUAAUAAAUAAA
This is an RNA transcript of Neocloeon triangulifer, 1791 nucleotides long. RefSeq lists it as uncharacterized. NCBI's taxonomy places the organism in Eukaryota, Metazoa, Arthropoda, Insecta, Ephemeroptera, Baetidae. The transcript has 10 exons. The record is from RefSeq and is a predicted model, not a curated record.